CGACACCCUCUCCUCAUCUCCCCUGCCUGUCCUUCCUAAAGAGCCAGUGUCCUUCUAUCCCAACAUUCCAGUCUUAGAAGCCAUCCCACUAUGUCUCCAUGACGCCAAUAAGAUUAUAGUCCUACAGGUGUGUGCAUGUCUUUGGUUUCUCUUGCUUAUUUCCCAUCCUCUGACUGUUUGCCUUGAGGCAUUUAAGUUGGGCCCCCGAUGAGGUUGACUUACUGGCUGGAGUGGCUGGAAUUCCUUUGUUUUGCUCUUCAGAUGCUCUCUUGCUGACCUGUGCUCCCCCUCCAGACUCCAACCAUCUGCUGCUGAUGCUGGCAUCAAACUGAGCACAUAUUUCUUCUGACCGCAUGGGCACAUGAAGUUUUUCCAGGGUCUAGGGCUGUUCAUUCCAGUGCACCUGCUGCAGCCCUCCAGCCAGUGACCUGUGUCUGACCUCAGAUGUGUAAUAGUUGGCUGCAGCCAUGUAACACUGACCAGCCCCUGUGAAGGCUGACCCCCACCACGACUGCAUGGUGGCUGUUGUGGGAGGCAGG
Long non-coding RNA from Pseudopipra pipra, 539 nucleotides. RefSeq lists it as uncharacterized. NCBI's taxonomy places the organism in Eukaryota, Metazoa, Chordata, Aves, Passeriformes, Pipridae. The record is from RefSeq and is a predicted model, not a curated record. The transcript is spliced from 3 exons.